RNAcentral lists this ribosomal RNA (371 nucleotides) under Bacillus licheniformis. RNAcentral's name for it is "bacterial LSU rRNA". It matches the Rfam family "Bacterial large subunit ribosomal RNA", at positions 2558 to 2925 of the family's 2925-position model. Lineage: Bacteria; Bacillati; Bacillota; Bacilli; Caryophanales; Bacillaceae. The record is from RNAcentral.
GUCGGUCCCAAGGGUUGGGCUGUUCGCCCAUUAAAGCGGUACGCGAGCUGGGUUCAGAACGUCGUGAGACAGUUCGGUCCCUAUCCGUCGCGGGCGCAGGAAAUUUGAGAGGAGCUGUCCUUAGUACGAGAGGACCGGGAUGGACGCACCGCUGGUGUACCAGUUGUUCUGCCAAGGGCAUCGCUGGGUAGCUAUGUGCGGACGGGAUAAGUGCUGAAAGCAUCUAAGCAUGAAGCCCCCCUCAAGAUGAGAUUUCCCAUUCCUAUAAGGAAGUAAGAUCCCUGAAAGAUGAUCAGGUUGAUAGGUCUGAGGUGGAAGUGUGGCGACACAUGGAGCUGACAGAUACUAAUCGAUCGAGGACUUAACCUAAA